This 105-nucleotide small nuclear RNA is filed under the name Procavia capensis (Cape rock hyrax). The record is from RNAcentral. Lineage: Eukaryota; Metazoa; Chordata; Mammalia; Hyracoidea; Procaviidae.
AUGCUUGCUUCAGUAGCACACAUACUAAAAAUUGGAAUGAUACAGAGAUUAGCAUGGCCCCCGCGCAAGGAGGACACGCAAAUUUGUGCAGCAUUCCAUAUUUUU